AGAGUUUGAUCAUGGCUCAGAACGUACGCUGGCGGCACGCCUAAUACAUGCAAGUCGAACGAAGUAGCAAUACUUAGUGGCAGACGGGUGAGUAACAUGUAGGUAUCUUCCCAUUGGUGAGGAAUAACACGAGGAAACUUGUGCUAAUACCUCAUAAGUCUUUACGGAGAAAGCUUUAUGCGCCGAUGGAUGAGCCUGCACUUGAUUAGUUUGUUGGUAGGGUAAUGGCCUACCAAGACAAUGAUCAAUAGCUGAUUUGAGAGGAUGAUCAGCCACAUUGGGACUGAGACACGGCCCAAACUCCUACGGGAGGCAGCAGUAGGGAAUCUUGCACAAUGGGGGAAACCCUGAUGCAGCGAUGCCGCGUGAGUGAAGAAGGCCUUUGGGUUGUAAAGCUCUUUCGUCGGGGAAGAAAAUGACUGUACCCGAAUAAGAAGGUCCGGCUAACUUCGUGCCAGCAGCCGCGGUAAUACGAAGGGACCUAGCGUAGUUCGGAAUUACUGGGCUUAAAGAGUUCGUAGGUGGUUAAAAAAGUUGGUGGUGAAAUCCCAGAGCUUAACUCUGGAACUGCCAUCAAAACUUUUUAGCUAGAGUAUGAUAGAGGAAAGCAGAAUUUCUAGUGUAGAGGUGAAAUUCGUAGAUAUUAGAAAGAAUACCAAUUGCGAAGGCAGCUUUCUGGAUCAUUACUGACACUGAGGAACGAAAGCAUGGGUAGCGAAGAGGAUUAGAUACCCUCGUAGUCCAUGCCGUAAACGAUGUGUGUUAGACGUUGGAAAUUUAUUUUCUGUGUCGCAGCGAAAGCAAUAAACACACCGCCUGGGGAGUACGACCGCAAGGUUAAAACUCAAAUGAAUUGACGGGGACCCGCACAAGUAGUGGAGCAUGUGGUUUAAUUCGAAGAUACGCGCAGAACCUUACCAACACUUGACAUGUUCGUCGCGACUUUAAGAGAUUAAAGUUUUCGGUUCGGCCGGACGAAACACAGGUGCUGCAUGGCUGUCGUCAGCUCGUGUCGUGAGAUGUUGGGUUAAGUCCCGCAACGAGCGCAACCCUCACUUUUAGUUGCCAUCAUUUAGUUGGGCACUCUGAAAGAACUGCCAGUGAUAAGCUGGAGGAAGGUGGGGAUGACGUCAAGUCCUCAUGGCCCUUACGUGUUGGGCUACACACGUGCUACAAUGGCAUUUACAAUAGGAAGCAAAACGGCGACGUUAAGCAAAUCCUAAAAAAAUGCCUCAGUUCGGAUUGUACUCUGCAACUCGAGUACAUGAAGCUGGAAUUACUAGUAAUCGCGGAUCAGCGCGCCGCGGUGAAUACGUUCCCGGGUCUUGUACACACCGCCCGUCACACCAUGGGAGUUGGUUCUACCUUAAGGCAAAGCUUAAUACCUUUGACCACGGUAUAGUCAGCGACUGGGGUGAAGUCGUAACAAGGUAGCCGUAGGGGAACCUGCGGCUG
Molecule: ribosomal RNA, 1455 nt
Filed under: uncultured bacterium HF0070_01M22
Lineage: Bacteria
Description: bacterial SSU rRNA
Rfam family: Bacterial small subunit ribosomal RNA
Source: RNAcentral